Molecule: ribosomal RNA, 301 nt
Filed under: uncultured bacterium
Lineage: Bacteria
Description: partial 16S ribosomal RNA
Rfam family: Bacterial small subunit ribosomal RNA
Source: RNAcentral
CAGCCGCCGCGGGAAUACAGAGGGUGCAAGCGUUAAUCGGAAUUACUGGGCGUAAAGCGCGCGUAGGUGGUUCGUUAAGUUGGAUGUGAAAUCCCCGGGUUCAACCUGGGAACUGCAUCCAAAACUGGCAAGCUAGAGUAUGGUAGAGGGUGGUGGAAUUUCCUGUGUAGCGGUGAAAUGCGUAGAUAUAGGAAGGAACACCAGUGGCGAAGGCGACCACCUGGACUGAUACUGACACUGAGGUGCGAAAGCGUGGGGAGCAAACAGGAUUAGAUACCCCAGUAGUCCCUGUCUCUUAUAA